RNAcentral lists this ribosomal RNA (253 nucleotides) under uncultured bacterium. Its description in RNAcentral is "partial 16S ribosomal RNA". It matches the Rfam family "Bacterial small subunit ribosomal RNA", at positions 524 to 776 of the family's 1533-position model. The record is from RNAcentral.
UACGUAGGGCGCAAGCGUUGUCCGGAAUUAUUGGGCGUAAAGAGCUCGUAGGCGGCCAGUUGCGUCCGCUGUGAAAUCCCGGGGCUUAACCCCGGGCGUGCAGUGGAUACGGGCUGGCUAGAGGCAGGCAGGGGAGAACGGAAUUCCUGGUGUAGCGGUGAAAUGCGCAGAUAUCAGGAGGAACACCGGUGGCGAAGGCGGUUCUCUGGGCCUGUACUGACGCUGAGGAGCGAAAGCGUGGGGAGCGAUCCGG